RNAcentral lists this small nucleolar RNA (185 nucleotides) under Microcebus murinus (gray mouse lemur). RNAcentral's name for it is "Small nucleolar RNA SNORA81 (ENSMICG00000025494.3)". It matches the Rfam family "Small nucleolar RNA SNORA81". Lineage: Eukaryota; Metazoa; Chordata; Mammalia; Primates; Cheirogaleidae. The record is from Rfam by way of RNAcentral.
AUCUUCUUGUUUAAGCUCUGUGCUAAAAUCACAGAAACUAAUAUUAUGUCUUAGCAUUUGUAAUAAAGCUAGCAGAGAAAACACAAGGGAAAAAAACUGAACAACUAUACCAGAUAGGAGAAAAAUUGAGUUGAACCUCUUUCUUAAGUCCAGAGUACGUUGUUCUAAGAUUUGGUACAAUAAUA